RNAcentral lists this long non-coding RNA (6829 nucleotides) under Lactuca sativa (garden lettuce). RNAcentral's name for it is "long non-coding RNA (LSAT_LNC005370)". The record is from RNAcentral. Lineage: Eukaryota; Viridiplantae; Streptophyta; Magnoliopsida; Asterales; Asteraceae.
AAAUAUGAAAUGUUGUUUGGGCGUUUUCAGUUGUACUCACAAAAUACUUGUUAACAUUUUAAAUAUUUAUUAUUUUCCUUAUAUACAUUUAUAUUAAUAUUUAUUUAACAAAAUCCUUUCGUCAAAACCUGUAUUAUAAGUAUCUUUCCAAAAGUUUUUAAAAAAUUAAGUUAUUCAUUCUCAUCUUUAUUUAUUGUAUGCUAUACGUUAUUUUUUUUGAAGUAUAUAUUAUAUUCAUGAAAUCUAACAUUAAGUUAUAUUGGUUUUAAUAAAUCAAAAAACAAUACACCAUUAUUUUAACUCAAGAACUAAUAAUCUUUAUUAACUACUUAACUUUGACAGAGAUAGUCCACACAUAAUAUACACAUACAACCAACCGAAAAAAUCCUUCUGGACAUUGCAACUAAAAAAAAUUAAUAGCCGUAAUUACUAGUGUAUAACUAACAUAUUAACUACCUUUAAAAAGACCAAAUUAACCAUAAGUAAAGAUUUCAUUUCAACAGAUGUUUUGCUCUUAAAAAAACGUAUCGAAAAGGUGUCCAGUCUACAAAAUGUCACUUUAAGUGCUUAAAGUGGUAUAUUUAUGUUUUAAAUGAUGAAAAAGAAAAGUGCAGGCUGAACAUUGCUUCGAUGGUUUUGCUUAUGCAAAAUGUAACCUGAUUCUGAAUUAAACAAUAAGUAAAAUUAAUUAAAUACCCUUAUGUUUGGUUAUUUUUAUGAAAAUUAAUGUGAAAUCUCUCUUUUUUUUUUUUUGCCUUGAACAAUAGGUGUUUCAGAAGGCCAUGGCAGAGACCGGUUGGAUUAAGCUUUAUGGUGAAGACCCAACUUUGGGUGAGACUAAGUUUGGCUGAGCCAUCUUUAUAGAGGUAGCAAGCAUUUGUAUAAGGAAGAAUGAUAUCAAUUCUUCUUAAUUUGCUUUAAGAAGAAUAACUGAAUUCCUCUUAAAACUAUUAUAUUCUUAAUUUGUUUAAUUUGUUUGACUGAUAUUCGUAUGUAUCCGGGUUGAGUGAAUAUAUAAGUGAAAAUUUGUUUUUCUUUGUAUUUCUACAUGCAUCAUUCUGACCCAUUCAAAGCGCGGACAUCAAUCCUUCUAAUUCUUAUUAUGGAUCAACCAUCAUUUCCGACAAACCAUACUAUACUAUUUUAUCGGCUAGUGACAAAUACAGAAUCCAUGAUAACACAAUGUCUGUUGCCCAGGUGGGCAAAACCCACGGCAAUCUGAAUCCCCUUCACAUCCGCGAUACUUGAUAUCUGUGCUUCGAGCUCUUCCUGUAUGAGUGACACUUGUUUUCGCCGAUUUAUCAACUAUGACUCCUAGUGCUGCAAUAAUACACAAAAACUAAUAUUAUGAACUAUUUUGCAUUCUUCAUAAGUUUAGGAAACUUGCAAUGAGCAUAAUAACAGGAGUGAAAAAAGGAGAAUAACCGCAAGUAUUAAGGACUAAUAUGGCCAAGAAAACAAAUUUGAGCACAAGUUUCGUCAUUGACUACUUGAAUUUAGUUGGGUAACUAAUCACGUACUAACCACCGAUAUUGUCAAAAAAGUAGAAUAUGAAGGAAAACAAUGGAUUUUUGAAUCAUUUAUAAGAUGUUUAUUUAGAAUAUUNCUUUAUUUUUAUUAAUUAUUUUUAAUAGGCCGGGACAGAAACUUUCGUUAUAAAUUCAUAACUUCUUCGUUUGACGUCCGUUCUCGCCUAACUUUUUAUCGUUUCAAUACCAACAAUGAGAUCUUCGAUUCUCAUUUAGAUUGCUUCGGCUAACAACCGCUCGAUCUCAAAUCGAGUAAAACAGGCUGUAUACCGCUAAGCCGGAACUUCGAUAAAUCAUAACUUCCUCAUACGAAGUCAGAUUUGGGCGUUCUAUAUAUAUUCGGAAACCUCGUUUCAACUACUACAACAUUAACCAAAGAUAUUAAGUUUAUUUUACACUUAAAUUUUGACGCUUAUUUUUAUUCUUAAUUAAUCAAACCACAUAAUUAAGCAAUUAAGCACAAAACACAUAAUACUCAAAUAAUACAAUCUUAUUAUUUCAAAACGGGUUACAAAGGUUAACCUAGACCAUUACAUUGCUAAAAGUGGCAAGCCCGGAAACACAGGCGUUACAAGAACUAAUAAUCUUUAUUAACUAUUUAACUUUGACAGAGAUAAUCCACACAUAAUAUACACAUACAACCAACCAAAAAAAUCCUUCUGGACAUUGCAAUAAAAAAAAUUAAUAGCCAUAAUUACUAGUGUAUAACUAACUGAUUAACUAUCUUUGAAAAGACCAAAUUAACCAUCAGUCAAGCUUUCAUUUCAACAGGUGUUUUGCUCUUAAAAAAACAUAUCGAAAAGGUGCCCAGUCUACAAAAUGUCACUUUAAGUGUUUAAAGUCUACAAAAUGUCACUUUAAGUGUUUAAAGUGGCAUCUUUAUGUUUUGAAUUAUGACAAACAAAAGUGCAGGCUGAACAUUGCUUCGAUGGUUUAGCUUAUGCAAAAUGUAACUUAAUUCUGAAAUAAACAAUAAGUAAAAUUACUUAUAUACUUAACUUUGACAAAGAUAGUCCACACAUAAUAUACACAUACAAUCAACCGAAAAAAUCCUUCUGGACAUUGCAACUAAAAAAAAUUAAUNNNNNNNNNNNNNNNNNNNNNNNNNNNNNNNNNNNNNNNNNNNNNNNNNNNNNNNNNNNNNNNNNNNNNNNNNNNNNNNNNNNNNNNNNNNNNNNNNNNNAUAUACCCUUAUGUUUGGUUAUUUUUAUGAAAAUUCAUGUGAAAUUUAUUUUUUUUGCCUUGAACAAUAGGUGUUUCAGAAGGCCAUGGCAGAGACCGGUUAGAUUAAGCUUUAUGGUGAAGACCCAACUUUGGUUGAGACUAAGUUUGGCUUAGCCAUCUUUAUAGAGGUAGCAAGCAUUUGUAUAAAGAAGAAUGAUAUCAAUUCUUCUUAAUUUGCUUUAAGAAGAAUAACUGAAUUCUUCUUAAAACUAUUAUAUUCUUAAUUUGUUUAAUUUGUUUGACUGAUAUUCGUAUGUAUCCGGGUUGAGUGAAUAUAUAAGUGAAAAUUUGUUUUUCUUUGUAUUUCUACAUGCAUCAUUCUGACCCAUUCAAAGCGCGGACAUCGAUCCUUCUAAUUCUUAUUAUGGAUCAACCAUCAUUUCCGACAAACCAUACUAUACUAUUUUAUCGGCUACUGACAAAUACAAAAUCCAUGAUAACACAAUGUCUGUUGCCCAGGUGGGCAAAACCCACGACAAUCAGAAUCCCCUUCAUAUCCGCGAUACUUGAUAUCUGUGCUGCGAGCUCUACCUGUAUGAGUGACACUUGGUUUCGCCGAUUUAUCAACUACGACUCCUAGUGCUGCAAUAAUACACAAAAACUAAUAUUAUGAACUAUUUUGCAUUCUUCAUAAGUUUAGGAAACUUGCAAUGAGCAUAAUCACAGGAGAGAAAAAAGGAGAAUAACCGCAAGUAUUAAGGACUAAUAUGGCGAAGAAAAUAAAUUUGAGCACAAGUUUCGUCAUUGACUACUUGAAUUUAGUUGGGUAAUUAAUCACGUACUAACCACCAAUAUUAUCAUAAAUGUAGACUAUGAAGGAAAACAAUGGAUUUUUGAAUCAUUUAUAGGAUGUUUAUUUAGAAUAUUUUCAGAAUAUGAAUUGUUCCCAAGCUAACUAGCCAUAUNAUAUACAUCCGGUAACCAUUGUUUUCGUUUUCUAGUGAAUCGUCAUUUUUAUGUGAAAAGAUUCCUUCUCACAAAUUGACAGCACUGAUUCUUAUGCAUGGGCAAGAUGUGUGUGAGACAACCCUCAACAAUAAGAUCUUAGUUUUUAAAAUAUGAAAUGUUGUUGGGGCAUUUUCAGUUGAAGUCACAAAAUACUUGUUAACAUUUUAAAUAUUUAUUAUUUUCCUUAUAUAUUUUUUUUGUUAAUAUUUAUUUAACAAAAUCGUUUCGUCAAAACCUUUAUUAUAAGUAUCUUUCCAAAAGUUUUUUAAAAAUUAAGUUAUUCAUUCUCAUCGUUGUUUAUUGUAUGCUAUAAAGUUGUGUUAUUAUAUACGUUAUUUUUUUUGAAGUAUAUAUUAUAUUAAUGAAAUCUAACGUUAAGUUAUAUUGGUUUUAAUAAAUAAAAAAACAAUACACCAUUAUUUUUACUCAAGAACUAAUAAUCUUUAUUAACUACUUAACUUUGACAGAGAUAAUCCACACAUAAUAUACACAUACAACCAACCGAAAAACUCCUUCUGGACAUUGCAACUAAAAAAAAUUAAUAUCCAUACUUACUAGUGUAUAACUAACAGAUUAACUAUCCUUGAAAAGACCAAAUUAACCAUAAGUCAAACUUUCAUUUCAACAGAUGUUUUGCUCUUAAAAAAACAUAUCGAAAAGGUGCCCAGUCUACAAAAUGUCACUUUAAGUGUUUAAAGUGGCAUAUUUAUGUUUUAAAUUAUGACAAAGAAAAGUGCAGGCUGAACAUUGCUUCGAUGGUUAAGCUUAUGCAAAAUGUAACCUGAUUCUGAAUUAAACAAUAAGUAAAAUUACUUAUAUACCCUUAUGUUUGGUUAUUUUUAUGAAAAUUAAUGUGAAAUCUGUUUUUUUUUGGCUUGAACAAUAAGUGUUUCAGAAGGCCAUGGUAGAGACCGUUUAGAUUAAGCUUUAUGCAGAAGACCCAACUUUGGUUGAGACUAAGUUUGGCUGAGACUUGAAUAGGAGUUUACGGCCAAGGAUGGUGUUUAGGCCGUAAACUCAUAAAUAUAGGGUUUUUAAGCCCUUAAACCCUUCCAAAACCACAACAAGACAUGGAUAUGACUUCUAGAAUAAUUUCUUUAGCCUUGGAACACUUUAAACAUAAUUUUUGGGAGACUUAUGUGAGUUUACGGCCAAGGCAUGUGCUUGGGCCGUAAACUCCUUGAAACAUGGUAUAAAUUCAAUUUCAAGGUGUUAGAAAGCCAUCCAACACCACCAAAAGCCUUGGAAUAAAUCAUAGGACCAACCAAAAAUAGUUUAAGGACCUUAAACACAUUAUUUGAGGGAUUUAUAUGAGUUUACGGCCAAGGCUUGUGCUUGGGCCGUAAACUCCUUGAUUCAUGGUGUUAGAAUGCAACCUAAACACCCCUAAAGCUUUUAGGUGAAUUUUAGAAGUCCUUUCAAACACGUUCUUGGCUUUAAAACAUCUUGAAUCACCCUAUAGAAGAGUUUACGGCCAUGAGGGGGGUCUUAUGGGCCAUAAACUCCAAAAACACCCCAUAAGAUUCAUAAAAUUUUAUGUAGAGCCUUGGAAUAAUUUUUACAAUCACAUGUGACUUUCUUGGAAUCCAAAAACACAAUUUUUCAUGGGUUUAUAGGAGUUUACGUCCAUGAGCCUUAUGCUAGGCCGUAAACUCCCUUAAAUGGGUCUAUUUGAUUUUUAAAAAUCAUUCCAAAUCCUUAAGCCAAAUUCUAAAUUAUUCCCUAAGUAUUUGAAGUCAUUUUGCACCAUAAACUACNNNNNNNNNNNNNNNNNNNNNNNNNNNNNNNNNNNNNNNNNNNNNNNNNNNNNNNNNNNNNNNNNNNNNNNNNNNNNNNNNNNNNNNNNNNNNNNNNNNNGUAUGUGUCUGGGUUGAGUGAAUAUAUAAGUGAAAAUUUGUUUUUGUUUGUAUUUCUGCAUGCAUCAUUCUGACCCAUUCAAAGCGUGGACAUUGAUCCUUCUAAUUCUUAUUAUGGAUCAACCAUCAUUUCCGACAAACCAUACUAUACUAUUUUAUCGGCUACUGACAAAUACAAAAUCCAUGAUAACACAAAGUUUGUUGCCGAGGUGGGCAAAACCCACGGCAAUCAGAAUCCCCUUCACAUCCGCGAUACUUGAUAUCUGUGCUGCGAGCUCUUCCUGUAUGAGUGACACUUGGUUUCGCCGAUUUAUCAACUACGACUCCUAGUGCUGCAAUAAUACACAAAAACUAAUAUUAUGAACUAUUUUGCAUUCUUUAUAAGUUUAGGAAACUUGCAAUGAGCAUAAUCACAGGAGUGAAAAAAGGAGAAUAACCGCAAGUAUUAAGGACUAAUAUGGCCAAGAAAACAAAUUUGAGCACAAGUUUCGUCAUUGACUACUUGAAUUUAGUUGGGUAACUAAUCACGUACUAACCACCNACUAACCACCAAUAUUAUCAUAAAAGUAGACUAUGAAGGAAAACAAUGGAUUUUUGAAUCAUUUAUAGGAUGUUUAUUUAGAAUAUUUUCAGAAUAUGAAUUGUUCCCAAGCUAACUAGCCAUAUACAUCCAGUAACCAUUGUUUUCGUCUUCUAGUGAAUCGUCAUUUUUAUGUGAAAAGAUUCCUUCUCACAAAUUGACAGCACUGAUUCUUAUGCAUGGGCAAGAUGUGUGUGAGACAACCCUCAACAAUAAGAUGUUAGUUUUUAAAAUGUUGUUGGGGCAUUUUCAAUUGAACUCACAAAAUACUUGUUAACAUUUUAAAUAUUUAUUAUUUUCCUUAUAUACAUUUUUAUUAAUAUGUAUUUAACAAAAUCCUUUCGUCAAAACCUGUAUUAUCAGUAUCUUUCCAAAAGUAUUUAAAAAAUUAAGUUAUUUAUUCUCAUCGUUAUUUAUUGUAUGCUAUAAAGUCGUCUUAUUAUAUACGUUAUUUUUUUUGAAGUAUAUACUAUAUUCAUGAAAUCUAUCAUUAAGUUAUAUUGGUUUUAAUAAAUAAAAAAACAAUACACCAUUAUUUUAACUCAAGAACUAAUAAUCUUUAUUAACUACUUAACUUUGACAGAGAUAAUCCACACAUAAUAUACACAUACAACCAACCGAAAAAAUCCUUCUGGACAUUUCAACUAAAAAAAAUUAAUAGCCAUAAUUACUAGUGUAUAACUAACAGAUUA